RNAcentral lists this transfer RNA (72 nucleotides) under Marmota monax (woodchuck). Its description in RNAcentral is "tRNA.Ala". The record is from RNAcentral. Lineage: Eukaryota; Metazoa; Chordata; Mammalia; Rodentia; Sciuridae.
UGGGGAUAUAGCUCAGUUGAUAGAGUGCUUGCCUUGCAUGCACAGGCCUGGGUUCGAUCCCCAGAACUACAA